This 99-nucleotide vault RNA is filed under the name Chelonia mydas (Green sea turtle). It matches the Rfam family "Vault RNA". Rfam says of the family: This family of RNAs are found as part of the enigmatic vault ribonucleoprotein complex. The complex consists of a major vault protein (MVP), two minor vault proteins (VPARP and TEP1), and several small untranslated RNA molecules. The record is from Rfam by way of RNAcentral. Lineage: Eukaryota; Metazoa; Chordata; Testudines; Cheloniidae.
GGGCCGGCUCUAGCUCAGCGGUUACUUCUUUCCUUCAUGCUUUUUGAACCACCAGCCCCUCCGGGGGUUCGAGACCCGCGGGCGCUAAUCGGCCUUUUU